GCGCCCCUCAAGUCCCGUGGUUCUAGCACCGUUGCUUUUAUUAACUUAUUUUUACUUAAACUAUUUUUAUAAAUUAUAUUAAGGCCUAAAAUCGCUCAUUUUUAUUAUACCAAAAUUUGUCUAUUAUCUUAUAUUAAAUAAGUCAUGUGAAAGUUAAUUUUAGAAAAUAUUUGCCAAGGUGCAUUAUUGCAUCCUUGAAUUUUUAAAUGUCUCAGAAAGACGUGUACGCCAUAUUCUUAAAUGAGAAGAACAUUUUAAAACAUGCCUAAAGUUCGUUUAGCGUUAAUGGUAUUUAUUUCAUCUCUUAUAAAUUCGAGACGAUGUGUUCAGCCCAUUAUUCUCAUUAUUUUCACUUAUUUCUUUUAAAUUGGCAACACGUAUUUGAUUAGUCUGCAACUCACCUUAUUCCCUUGCGAAUGAGUUUUCUCUCUCUAUUUUUUUUCUUUUCUUUAUUACAACGGGUCUUGAAUAAGUCCACGUCCUAUCUUGCUCCAAUUCAAAUAAUUAGUUUGGGCCUUAAACCAUUCUAAGCCACAAAACAUUUUUUUAGGUUAAGAAACUAAUGUAAUUAUACAUAGCUCAAGAUAAAACCAGAAAUAACAUAUAACUUAAAGGAAUUAUCAAAAACAUAUUAAAAUAAUUUCAAUAUCAAAUAUCAACUACAGGGAAUAACUGAACAAACAAUUAAAAUGACAAGAAAUGGUAGAGGAAAUGAAAUGUGAUUCCAAACUAAAAUCUUAAACUAAGCAUAACUUAUUAGUUUAUUUUUGUUUUUGUUUUUUCGAAAAGAAAACAACAAAUAGACUGUGAAUGGGAUACAAACUAAUGGCCAUACGUCCAAAGCGUUGUUGAAGGACACGUGAAUUUCAAUUAUCUCUAAUCAUUUGAAUCACGUCUAAAAUCAUUAAUGUCACCAAUGAUACCCCACAAUUCUUGGUAAAAAAAAAUGCGGCAGUGGCUAAUUGAAAACUAAUGUUUAAAUUUACUAUUACAUGUCACUAACAAAAGAAAAAGACUUUCCCUUUACUACCACUUUAUGAACCAAAUUUCAUUUUUCUUAAGAGAAAAAAAAAUAUUAUUCGUAACCAAAUUUUACUCUAAACUUAAUGAUACACAAAAUAAAAGGAACAUAGACAUAUUUUGUAUAAUGAUUACGUUAACUAGAAUUCAUGACCAAAUCCUCACGUACACAAAUAAUUAAUUUUACAUGUUAAAUAAUUCAUGAAGUCAUUUAAACUUUCAUUCGUGCUUUGAUUCAUGAUAAAUUUAUGAAAUAUAAUAUAAGAUGGGAUAAAAAUCUGUAUUACAAAUUAAAUCAAGUAUCGAAGCAAGAACGUCGUCAUCGAAAACUCAAACGGAGACCUGAAAUUUGAUUUGCAACCCUGUCUCUCCUUUGUUUUCUUCCUUUUUUUUUUUGUUUCAAAUGUUGUACAUUGUCUUUGUUGUGUGUAUGUAUUGUGUUGUCUCCCUUUUUUCUUCUUCAGGUGUUUUUCUUUUCUUUUUUUGUUUUUUCAGUGUUGUCUCUCUUUUUUUGGUUUUUUGUUAGUGCGUUUUCCUUCUUUAGUCUCUCCUCUUUGUUACUUUCUGUUUCUUUCCCUUCAAAUGUUUUUUUUUGUUUUGUUGUUGUUUUUUUUUUUGGUUUUCUC
This 1646-nucleotide long non-coding RNA is filed under the name Capsicum annuum. Its description in RNAcentral is "long non-coding RNA (CANN_LNC014292)". The record is from RNAcentral. Lineage: Eukaryota; Viridiplantae; Streptophyta; Magnoliopsida; Solanales; Solanaceae.